CAGUGUCACACCCUGUCAGCAGUGGCUGUCCCUCACUAUUGAAGAAACACACAUGCUCACUACUGAUAGUAUCACACUCCCUCACUACUGACAGUAUCACACUCUCUCACUACUGAUAGUGUCACACUCUCUCACUACUGAUAGUGUCACAUCUCCAUCACUACUGACAGUAUCACACUCUCUCACUACUGAGUAUCACACUCUCUCACUACUGACAGUAUCACACUCACUCACUACUGAUAGUGUCACAUCUCCAUCACUACUGCCACUACCACACUCCCUCAGUACUAUCAGUGACCCCUGACUGAAGGCUGUGAUUCUGUGACCUGGGUUUGCCCUCUGAACCCUGAGCGUUCCAACCCCUCCCUGCCCGCUCCUGGUGAUCUGUCCAUUCACUCUGCAACUGUUGGGCAGUUGUAUUGUCGACAGCCUUGACUUCUGAAUGACUUCAUCGCGUAAGGAACAGACUUGUCUGGAGGAUAUGAGUAACCGCCUAAACUCUCUCACACUGGAAACUGGAACCGGCCGCAUAAAA
Long non-coding RNA from Amblyraja radiata (thorny skate), 535 nucleotides. RefSeq lists it as uncharacterized. NCBI's taxonomy places the organism in Eukaryota, Metazoa, Chordata, Chondrichthyes, Rajiformes, Rajidae. The transcript has 2 exons. The record is from RefSeq and is a predicted model, not a curated record.